UUGAAAGGGAAACGAUUGAAGUCAGUCGUACCGGCGGGUAAUCAGCCUUUCGGGUAUGAUUCUGUGGAGCGUGAGGAGUUAAACGCCUUCAUGCCUGCAUAUUCGUGCUCUUGGGUGUACUUAUUCGUGUGGUAAGUUAACAUCAAUUUUGGUCGUCAUAAAAUAACUGGAGGAAUGUAGCUUCGAUCUCGUAUUGAAGUGUUAUAGCCUUUGGUAGAUGUGAUUAUCGGGAUUGAGGAUUGCAACGGAUACCCUUCGGGGCUACUUGUCUGAUCUCUGAUCGUUGCUCUGGUGCCGAAAGCGUGCUUACGGUUAUCAAAGUCGAUGGUUAAUAGGUUAGAACGGGUUAAAUUCGUUAAGGAUGUUGACGUA
RNAcentral lists this ribosomal RNA (372 nucleotides) under uncultured Glomeromycotina. Its description in RNAcentral is "eukaryotic LSU rRNA". Lineage: Eukaryota; Fungi; Glomeromycota. The record is from RNAcentral.